CCAAAGACUUUGCCAUGGAGGACUGAGCCUUGCUUUUUCUCCCAGCCACCUCCCAAGGCAGCCUGGCCUGUUUGGGAGAGGAAUAGGGAGGUCAGAGGAGAAAAAGAGACCCCUUGUGCAAGAAGUGGACUAUCUCUCUUUUCCCUCAUGGUUCUUGGGGAGGGAGAAUGACUUCAGUCUCCAUUAGAGGAGAUUCUUCUGGCAAUUUAUGAAGUGAUCUCCUCAAUCACAGAUACAGCAUGCUUAUUGAUAGGCUUUUAAGCCUAAAAAGCAUGUGGUAACAAGCACUUGUAUUUCCAUUUCUUUUGUUUCAUGGGGGAAAAAAGAUGGAUAAAAUGUCAGUUUAUGGUGGGUCCAUGAACAAACUAAACACCUCACACCUUAUCUAAGUCUGCAGCUUGGAAAAUGGUACAAGAGUUCAGUUCCACUCCAGAAGUUUCCACUAUGACUUAACCUCUCCAGAGCCUUAAUUUCUGUGUCUGAAUUCCCUCCAUUGCUAGAUGCCUGUAGGCUAUGAUACUUGUUCCUCAUUGUUUUCUAAAUAAACCUCAUUACUUGUAAUUAAUGGGUGGAGAUGAGGAAGUAGUUUAAAUAGCCUAGUUCCUACAACUUCUAUUGGAUGCUAAAGUUUAUGAACACAUGGAAAUGGACUUUAUAUAGUUAUAUAGCAUACCUAAGAAUUUCAAAAUACUACAUUUAGGAGAAAAAAUCUGAAAAACUGUGAAGUAGCAUGGAUUUUAAAAAUUCUUAUUACUAUUAAAACUGAACCAAGAAAAUGUCUUAUUAUGUUCCAUAAUAUUGGAGUAAUUAUGAAACAGGCUGAUAGAGAAGGUUUCUGGACCUAAACCCAGGCCUUAUUCAUUACCAUGGGUACAUUAUUUAAGCUCACUAAAAUAAGGAAAAUACAUUCCCAGCUAGAAAAGUGUAGUCAAUUUAAACAUGUGGAGGGAUUAAAUGACUUGGCUUAUUGACACCUAGUGAAAGUUCCUUUCUUUUCUUUCUUUCUUUCUUUCUUUAUUUAUUUAUUUUU
RNAcentral lists this long non-coding RNA (1030 nucleotides) under Marmota monax (woodchuck). Lineage: Eukaryota; Metazoa; Chordata; Mammalia; Rodentia; Sciuridae. The record is from RNAcentral.